Unclassified non-coding RNA from Vigna unguiculata (cowpea), 1279 nucleotides. Lineage: Eukaryota; Viridiplantae; Streptophyta; Magnoliopsida; Fabales; Fabaceae. The record is from RefSeq and is a predicted model, not a curated record.
UCUCAUCAAUUACAAGGGAAUACUUCUGGGUCACUUAAUUCUGAUUUGGCUCAUACAAGUAACUCUCAACCUCCUGCACUUUUAAAGUCGCACUCACAGGUGAAUCCUUAUGGAAUAUUAAAACUAAUGUUCCAAAUACCAACUGGAAUGGAUCACCCAGCAAAAACUUCAAAAAUAGACCAACACGAGGGGGGUUUAAAGGAGGAUUCCAGAAGUCUAAAUUUAAUGAUGUGAAUAAUGGAAAGCGCAGAACUGGGUUUCUUAAAGAUCAUAAUGGAAGAGCCCUUACAGUGGGAGGGCAGCACAUGAUAGUGUAAGAUCAAAGGAACUUAAGCAGCAACUAGAAAGAUCUUUCUCUGUGACUUACACUGAGCAAGAAAUCAAACAAUGGCGUGAAGCACGGAAAAAGAAUCAUCCUUGUAACAACUUUCAGAAGAGGCACUGUGAAUGACCGAUGGACUCCAAGGUCAUUAAAAGGGAGGUCUUACAAAGAGAGCUUAAGGAGGUUUUAGCAAAGCAAGCUGAAUUAGGAAUCGAAGUUGCUGAAAUACCAUCACACUACCUUAAGAAUUCUGAUAAUCAAGGUCUUCAGAAUGAAGGGAAAAACAAAUUUAGUGACAAAAGAAAGUUCCAAAACAAGUUCAACAAGAAAUUAGACAGAAAAGGUCGGUUCGGCAAGAAGCAAAAGUUUGCUGACUUUUCAGAAAGCCCUUCAUUAAAAAUGAGGAAGCCAACUUUAUUGCAGAAACUCUUGAGUGCAGAUAUAAGCAAGGAUAAGAGCCACCUGUUUCAGGUUUUCAGGUUCAUGGUAAUAAAUUCUUUCUUCAAACAUUGUCCUGAUAAGCCACUUAGAUAUCCAUCAGUCAUGGUUAAAGAGAACUGGUCUGAAGUUGACACUAAAAAAGAUAUUCCUAAACGCGGGAACGAGGGAGCUGUCAAAAAAAUUGCUAGCCUAAAUAAUGAUGAUCAUAGUAGUGAAGACGAAGACAGUGAUGUGGAUGAGAAUGACUCUAUUGUACAUAAUAAUCCACACAAAGAACUUUUUUCCUUGGUUAAAGAAGGAUUUGAGAAAUCUGAUGAAGAGGGAGAAAUUUUAGAAUGAAAUUCGAAUAUUGGUGCUCCACUUUUUGCAGCAAAGUUUUGAAUACUGUAGUGGUAACAUUUUUUGUUUAGUCAUUUGUUUCCCUUAUGGUUUUACCAUCAUGCGUAAUGUUACAGUAAAUAUAUUUUUGCAGCAAAGGUUUCUUAAUACUAAUAUUACACACUAUAUUUGCACAAA